AUUUCAGCUUUAUUCACUUUUUUAGACACACUACUAUUAUUCUGAACACAACUGUAUGUCUGUGAAGUAUUGGCAGCUUGUAGAUGGUCUCGAGCAGUCACCUGAAUCCCACAUCUCCAACAGCCGAGAGCAGCUGGUUGUCCAGUCCAAUAAACUGUUUUAUUUUGGUUUCUUACUAUCCAUAAUGUAAGGCUUUUCUUUGCUGCGGUUAUGGAUGGAUGCACAAGAGCCAGUUUGCUAGUUGCAGCAUUAGCAAGUUUGUAGUGCAGUUCUCAGGUGUUGAAUGAGGUUUUUGGUGUUUUUUUGCUGCCAAUCCCCCAUGACCAAUUUUGUUUGAACAUGGCAGAUUUAUCGGAGCAUCCGUACUAAAAAUACCACUAAAAUUUUCCCCCUCUCCAGGGAUACAACUGGUGUCAUGAUAGGAAUGUUGUGACCAUCUUCAGUGCGCCAAACUACUGCUAUCGCUGUGGCAACCAAGCCGCCAUCAUGGAACUGGAUGAUACUCUAAAAUACUCUUUCCUGCAGUUUGACCCUGCACCUCGCCGUGGGGAGCCCCACGUCACCCGACGCACCCCAGACUACUUCCUAUAAAUCCCCUACCGAUGACAUUUGUAUGUGUAAAUGUGUGUAUAUGUAUGAGCAGGGUUACAACAUGAAAGUACUAACAUGGACCAAAAUGUGCCAUACUAGCGGUAAGCAUUUAGUGCACACAUACAGUUUGCCCAGUGUCUCAGUACUGCAACAACAUGCCGCAUUUAUCCUUCAGCUCAAGUCUCAAAAGCCUGCUGUAUACGAUGGUAGUAAUGGGUUUCUUUUUUUCCCCUUUUUUUCGGGUGGGUGGGGGGGGGGUGUUCCUUGAACUGUACAUUGAAGAGGACUUGCGUGACUUGCUUUGCUUAUUUCAAAUUUACUGGACAAAAUACAUUUUUGCGACAAUUAGCAAUGCCAGGCAUGUGAAAUAUGGUAUUUUUAAUGUACAAGCUUACCGACCCCCCACACUUUCCUCCAGCGGACACUAUCCUGUUAUGAAUGCAUAGUUGAAGGGAGAAACCUCUUCCUCUUCUGGAGUGUAUGCUGUCAUGUAAAGAGCCCUCCCUCCCUCCCCCUCUCACCCACCCACUGUUAAAUCUUACUGUUUACUGUACUUUUUUCUGUAUAUUUGUCAUGAAGUGAUUGCAUCUUCUUUGGUGUAUUUGAACCAAUUAAAGUACUUUUGAUCAUUAA
Paramormyrops kingsleyae is the source of this 1224-nucleotide non-coding RNA. The record is from RefSeq and is a predicted model, not a curated record. NCBI's taxonomy places the organism in Eukaryota, Metazoa, Chordata, Actinopteri, Osteoglossiformes, Mormyridae.